GAACGCUGGCGGCGUGCCUAAUACAUGCAAGUCGAACGUGAACAGGGGCAACCCUUAGUAAAGUGGCGCACGGGUGAGUAACACGUAGGUCAUCUGCCUUUUAGUGGGGAAUAACACAGCGAAAGUUGUGCUAAUGCCGCAUACGUAAGUAAUUAGAAAGGGGGCGUCCGCAAGGAGCUCUCGCUGAAAGAAGAGCCUGCGGCCUAUUAGCUAGUUGGUGGGGUAAUAGCCUACCAAGGCAACGAUAGGUAUCCGGUCUGAGAGGAUGAUCGGACACACUGGAACUGAGACACGGUCCAGACUCCUACGGGAGGCAGCAGUAGGGAAUAUUGCGCAAUGGGGGAAACCCUGACGCAGCAACGCCGCGUCAGUGAGGAAGGUCUUCGGAUUGUAAACUCUUUUCUUAGGGAAAAAUGAUUAUGGGGUUAAUACCCUCAUGAAGUGAUGGU
Molecule: ribosomal RNA, 449 nt
Filed under: uncultured Bdellovibrio sp.
Lineage: Bacteria; Pseudomonadati; Bdellovibrionota; Bdellovibrionia; Bdellovibrionales; Pseudobdellovibrionaceae
Description: bacterial SSU rRNA
Rfam family: Bacterial small subunit ribosomal RNA
Source: RNAcentral